AUUGAACGCUGGCGGCAGGCCUAACACAUGCAAGUCGAACGAGUGGCGGACGGGUGAGUAAUGUCUGGGAAACUGCCCGAUGGAGGGGGAUAACUACUGGAGACGGUAGCUAAUACCGCAUACCAUCGGAUGUGCCCAGAUGGGAUUAGCUUGUAGGUGAGGUAACGGCUCACCUAGGCGACGAUCCCUAGCUGGUCUGAGAGGAUGACCAGCCACACGGGAAAGGAGCAACGGUCCAGACUCCGACGGGAGGCAGAAGUGGGGAAUAUUGCACAAUGGGCUCAAGCCUGAUGCAGCCAUGCCGCGUGUAUGAAUAAGGCCUUCGGGUUGUAAAAUACUGUCAGCGGGGAGGCGGUACCCGCAGAAGAAGCACCGGCUAACUCCGUGCCAGCAGCCGCGGUAAUAC
Molecule: ribosomal RNA, 406 nt
Filed under: uncultured bacterium
Lineage: Bacteria
Description: partial 16S ribosomal RNA
Rfam family: Bacterial small subunit ribosomal RNA
Source: RNAcentral